Podarcis lilfordi (Lilford's wall lizard) is the source of this 72-nucleotide non-coding RNA. The record is from the annotation of a GenBank genome assembly. NCBI's taxonomy places the organism in Eukaryota, Metazoa, Chordata, Lepidosauria, Squamata, Lacertidae.
AGGGUUGUUGUUGAGCGGAAGAACAUCUGCUUGACAUGCAGAAGGACCCAGGUUCAAUCCCCAAUAUCUCCA